CCUACGGUGGGUAGCAGUGGGGAAUAUUGGGCAAUGGGCGCAAGCCUGACCCAGCAACGCCGCGUGAAGGAAGAAGGCUUUCGGGUUGUAAACUUCUUUUGUCAGGGAAGAGUAGAAGACGGUACCUGACGAAUAAGCCACGGCUAACUACGUGCCAGCAGCCGCGGUAAUACGUAGGUGGCAAGCGUUGUCCGGAGUUACUGGGUGGAAAGGGCGUGUAGCCGGGUUGACAAGUCAGAUGGGAAAUCCUGCGGCUUAACCGCAGAACUGCAUUUGAAAAUGUUGGUCUUGAGUACUGGAGAGGCAGACGGAAUUCCUAGUGUAGCGGUGAAAUGCGUAGAUAUUAGGAGGAACACCAGUGGCGAAGGCGGUCUGCUGGACAGCAACUGACGGUGAGGCGCGAAAGCGUGGGGAGCAAACAGGAUUAGAUACCCCUGUAGUC
This 442-nucleotide ribosomal RNA is filed under the name uncultured bacterium. RNAcentral's name for it is "partial 16S ribosomal RNA". It matches the Rfam family "Bacterial small subunit ribosomal RNA", at positions 338 to 795 of the family's 1533-position model. The record is from RNAcentral.